This 162-nucleotide small RNA is filed under the name Gopherus agassizii (Agassiz's desert tortoise). RNAcentral's name for it is "TUC338 (ENSGAGG00000023808.1)". Lineage: Eukaryota; Metazoa; Chordata; Testudines; Testudinidae. The record is from RNAcentral.
CUGACAGCAACAAAAACUAAAAUCCUUUAUCUACAGAGCUGAUACAGCACAGGCAGCAGCGCAGAAAACUUCUGCAUGCUGCAUCAUGCCUUGAAUGGGAAUAACAAUUUCUGGGUUUGAAAAGUUAGUUCAGAUUCCUUGCCCCCUCUGCUGAUGCCAGUG